This 253-nucleotide ribosomal RNA is filed under the name uncultured bacterium. RNAcentral describes it as "partial 16S ribosomal RNA". It matches the Rfam family "Bacterial small subunit ribosomal RNA", at positions 524 to 776 of the family's 1533-position model. The record is from RNAcentral.
UACGUAGGGACCGAGCGUUGUCCGGAUUCAUUGGGCGUAAAGAGCUCGUAGGCGGCUGUUCAAGUCGAACGUGAAAACUCGGAGCUCAACUCCGAGCCUGCGUUCGAUACUGGACGGCUAGAGUCUGGUAGGGGGAUCUGGAAUUCCUGGUGUAGCGGUGAAAUGCGCAGAUAUCAGGAAGAACACCCGUGGCGAAGGCGGUUCUCUGGGACGGUACUGACGCUGAGACGCGAAAGCGUGGGGAGCGAACAGG